Molecule: ribosomal RNA, 209 nt
Filed under: Vibrio parahaemolyticus
Lineage: Bacteria; Pseudomonadati; Pseudomonadota; Gammaproteobacteria; Vibrionales; Vibrionaceae
Description: partial 23S ribosomal RNA
Rfam family: Bacterial large subunit ribosomal RNA
Source: RNAcentral
GGGUUUAGAACGUCGUGAGACAGUUCGGUCCCUAUCUGCCGUGGGCGUUGGAAGAUUGAAGGGGGCUGCUCCUAGUACGAGAGGACCGGAGUGGACGAACCUCUGGUGUUCGGGUUGUGUCGCCAGACGCAUUGCCCGGUAGCUAAGUUCGGAAUCGAUAACCGCUGAAAGCAUCUAAGCGGGAAGCGAGCCCUGAGAUGAGUCUUCCC